UCGAUUGACAGUGAAGCGCGCAAGGCCCAACUUGGUUCCCAACCGACUUAUGGCCCAAGUUCCACAUCAAUUCCAGAAAUAUCCAUGGCCGACUUUAACCUAAUAUUUAUGUGCUCUGCCAUUAUUUUGGGUAAGACACACUUUCAUACUUUAUUAUUUUCAUAGCAAAACAUGUUUAGGGUUUUUAGUAGUUUGGAGAGAAGAUCCAAAACUCCUUCAGAGUUUUGUAUUGGAGCUCUAGUUUUUCUACUUUAUUCUAUUUAUAUGCAUUUUAUUCAGAUAUUUGCUAUGUUAUAUUUUGUUAUGUCUGAGUUACCUUUGUUAGAUUUAUGGUUUAAAGUAAGGCUAUGGGAUUUGCCCAAUAUAUAGAUACGCAAAUGUGACAAAAAUUUUCUUCAAGGAAUUGUUUGUAAUGUUUGUGUUCUAGAGUAGCUAACUAGAAGCCUGAACUUAAGAUAAUUAGGUGCACACAACGGCAUGGUUUUUACCUGAAUUAAUUUUCUUCAGCUAGGAUUGCUAGGAACAAGCGACAGCUGAUUUAGUUAAUACUAGUGAACCUAUCGAACAGCUCACUAAAGCUUGCCUAGGUAAACGUCGAUCGACGCUAAUCUCAUAGCAUCAAUUGACGUUCAAACCAUAUCAACAAGCAACAUCUGAGAUAUUGGACUUAGUAAAUAGGAUUUAUUCGCAUGCAGAAGCUGGAAUACUUUGCAAUUUGAAUUUGAGUUCUAGGAUUGAAAACCUUGGCAUCUAUAUCACUACAAUCAUGAUUACCUGAAAUCCUAGAUCUAAUUAUUUCU
Molecule: long non-coding RNA, 800 nt
Filed under: Brassica napus (rape)
Lineage: Eukaryota; Viridiplantae; Streptophyta; Magnoliopsida; Brassicales; Brassicaceae
Description: long non-coding RNA (BNAP_LNC013198)
Source: RNAcentral